AUAAAGCAUGAGGCUAAAAUGGCAGAAUUGUCAGUUUUGGUUGAGCUAUCUCUAUAAGUUAAAGUAUAUAAGUUGAUGUUCAUAUGCCUAAUUAAUAUAGAUAUCAAUAAAAAGGUCUGCUAGUCUAAAUUUCUAUUUUGAUUGAUCUUUUGAUGUUUUAUUUAAAACCCACUCUUUUAUUUGCUCAGCAGGCUAUUUUCACAUGGAGGUAAUCUUCUAUUGAUAAUUUCUGGAUUUUAAUUAUGUGUAAGUUGCAUAAAACUCUAUUGUUUAACCACUCACUCACUGUUGUUUGCAAAUUACUCGUGUAACUUGUCUUUCAGAAUGUUUUCAGCUGUUGAAUUCACCUCAGAUCAGUGUUGCUGUAAUUCCCGAUCUAUGGAAAGAAUAAUUGGAUGAGCGAGCAACGCCACAACUACAGGGCCUGUUCUUUCUCUUCUCAUCAUUUAACUGGAUUAUCUGUUGAAUUUGUUUCUUCCUCUGACUGCUUUCUCCAUACCAACAACU
Danio rerio (zebrafish) is the source of this 507-nucleotide non-coding RNA. NCBI's taxonomy places the organism in Eukaryota, Metazoa, Chordata, Actinopteri, Cypriniformes, Danionidae. The record is from RefSeq and is a predicted model, not a curated record.